This 254-nucleotide ribosomal RNA is filed under the name uncultured bacterium. RNAcentral's name for it is "partial 16S ribosomal RNA". It matches the Rfam family "Bacterial small subunit ribosomal RNA", at positions 524 to 776 of the family's 1533-position model. The record is from RNAcentral.
UACGAAGGGGGGCUAGCGUUGCUCGGAAUCACUGGGCGUAAAGGGCGCGUAGGCGGAUCUUUAAGUCGGGGGUGAAAGCCUGAGGCUCAACCUCAGAAUUGCCUUCGAUACUGGAGAUCUUGAGUCCGGAAGAGGUGAGUGGAACUCCUAGUGUAGAGGUGGAAUGCGCAGAUAUCAGGAGGAACACCGGUGGCGAAGGCGGGUCUCUGGGCAGUAACUGACGCUGAGGAGCGAAAGCGUGGGGAGCGAACAGG